Molecule: transfer RNA, 65 nt
Filed under: Pteroptyx tener
Lineage: Eukaryota; Metazoa; Arthropoda; Insecta; Coleoptera; Lampyridae
Description: tRNA-Thr
Source: RNAcentral
GUUUUAAUAAUUUAAGUAAAAAUAUUGGUCUUGUAAAUCAAAAAUAAAAUAAUUUUUUUAAAACU